GAUGAACGCUGGCGGCGUGCCUAACACAUGCAAGUCGAACGGAAAGACGAUGAUUUUGCUCUUUUUACGUUAGCGGCGCGCGGGUGUGUAACAUGUGUAUAACCCACCUUUAUGUCUGGGAUCACCUCGUGAAACCGGCUCCUAACCCCGAUUAUCUACUGAAGCCCAUUGUUCGUUAGUUACAGGCGGCUUUGCUUUCUCUGCUCGCUGCUUCCGCGCCGGAUUAGCUAGUGGGUCAGGUAACGGCUUACCAAGGCCAUGAUGCGUAGCCGAACUGAGAGGGUGAUCGGCCACACUGGAACUGAGACACGGUCCAGACUCCUACGGGAGGCAGCAGUAGGGAAUGUUGCGCAAUGGGCGAAAGCCUGACGGAGCAACGCCGCGUGUGUGAAGAAGGCCUUCGGAUCGUAAAGAACUGUUAGUGGGGAGGAACAGAUUUGGAAGUAAAUAUGCACGGAUUGACGGUACCUGAUCAAGAAGCACCGGCUAACUACGUG
This 497-nucleotide ribosomal RNA is filed under the name uncultured bacterium. RNAcentral's name for it is "partial 16S ribosomal RNA". It matches the Rfam family "Bacterial small subunit ribosomal RNA", at positions 28 to 507 of the family's 1533-position model. The record is from RNAcentral.